UACGUAGGGUGCGAGCGUUGUCCGGAAUUAUUGGGCGUAAAGAGCUUGUAGGCGGUUUGUCGCGUCUGCUGUGAAAAUCCGGGGACGUCAACCCCGGACCUUGCAGUGGGUACGGGGCAGGACUAGAGUGUUGCAGGGGAGACUGGAAGUUCCUGGUGGUAAGCGGUGGUAAAUGCGCCAGGAUAAUCAGGAGGGAACACCGG
This 203-nucleotide ribosomal RNA is filed under the name uncultured bacterium. RNAcentral describes it as "partial 16S ribosomal RNA". It matches the Rfam family "Bacterial small subunit ribosomal RNA", at positions 524 to 712 of the family's 1533-position model. The record is from RNAcentral.